GACGAAAGUCUGACGGAGCAACGCCGCGUGAGUGAAGAAGGUUUUCGGAUCGUAAAGCUCUGUCUUCAGGGACGAAUGUGCUUAAUGUGAAUAAUGUUAAGUAAUGACGGUACCUGAGGAGGAAGCCACGGCUAACUACGUGCCAGCAGCCGCGGUAAUACGUAGGUGGCAAGCGUUGUCCGGAAUUAUUGGGCGUAAAGCGCGCGCAGGCGGGAAUGUAAGUCUGUCUUAAAAGUUCGGGGCUCAACCCCGUGAUGGGAUGGAAACUACAUUUCUUGAGUGCAGGAGAGGAAAGUGGAAUUCCUAGUGUAGCGGUGAAAUGCGUAGAUAUUAGGAGGAACACCAGUGGCGAAGGCGACUUUCUGGACUGUGUCUGACGCUGAGGCGCGAAAGCCAGGGGAGUGAACGGGAUUAGAUACCCCGGUAAUCCUGGCCGUAAACGAUGGGUACUAGGUGUAGGAGGUAUCGACCCCUUCUGUGCCGGAGUUAACGCAAUAAGUACCCCGCCUGGGGAGU
RNAcentral lists this ribosomal RNA (516 nucleotides) under uncultured bacterium. RNAcentral's name for it is "bacterial SSU rRNA". It matches the Rfam family "Bacterial small subunit ribosomal RNA", at positions 374 to 881 of the family's 1533-position model. The record is from RNAcentral.